AUGACGCGAACGCAAAAAGUACUUAAAUGAGGAAACACACAACGUUCAAUCUUUUUUCUGUAAAAAUUUAGCUGAAUACAAAUUCAAAUAAAAUGAGCGAAUUUCAAGUGCGAUCAAGAUGUUUACAAGAUCCAUCGAACGAAUACGUGGCGCUUAAUGUUGAUUCGAAUAAUGACGAUAAAAAACUGUUUAAAAUUAUGAGAUGGAAAAUUUUUAAUAAAAAUUUUUAUAGAAACUUGUCGCCAGUCAAGAAGUGGAUGUUGUCAUUAUUUGUAGUGGCCUUAGUUGGAAUGACCAUAUAUUACUCUUUCUUUUACAGAAAAAGAAGAUUUAAUAGAUAUAACUAUGAAUAUUCAACACAUUCUUACUAUCAAUGAAAUUUAAAAUAAAAUUAUACUGUAAUUAAAACUAUUUUUUGUAUAAUAUUUGUUGAUCAACCACAAUAUUAAAUAAAAAACAAAAACAAAAUA
Molecule: long non-coding RNA, 470 nt
Organism: Daktulosphaira vitifoliae (grape phylloxera)
Lineage: Eukaryota; Metazoa; Arthropoda; Insecta; Hemiptera; Phylloxeridae
Exons: 2
Source: RefSeq, a predicted model, not a curated record